This 484-nucleotide ribosomal RNA is filed under the name uncultured bacterium. Its description in RNAcentral is "partial 16S ribosomal RNA". It matches the Rfam family "Bacterial small subunit ribosomal RNA", at positions 30 to 507 of the family's 1533-position model. The record is from RNAcentral.
AUUGAACGCUGGCGGCAGGCCUAACACAUGCAAGUCGAGCGGAUGAAGGGAGCUUGCUCCUGGAUUCCGCGGCGGACGGGUGAGUAAUGCCUAGGAAUCUGCCUGGUCGUGGGGGAUAACGUCCGGAAACGGGCGCUAAUACCGCAUACGUCCUGAUGGUGAAAGUGGGGGUUCUUUGGACCCCCCCCUUUCAGCUGUCCCUGGGUCGGAUUAGCUAGUUGGUGGGGUAAAGGCCUACCAAGGCGACGAUCCGUAACUGGUCUGAGAGGGUGAUCAGUCACACUGGAACUGAGACACGGUCCAGACUCCUACGGGAGGCAGCAGUGGGGAAUAUUGGACAAUGGGCGAAAGCCUGAUCCAGCCAUGCCGCGUGUGUGAAGAAGGUCUUCGGAUUGUAAAGCACUGUAAGUUGGGAGGAAGGGAAGUAAGUUAAUACCUGGCUGUUUUGACGUUACCAACAGAAUAAGCACCGGCUAACUUCGUG